Molecule: ribosomal RNA, 253 nt
Filed under: uncultured bacterium
Lineage: Bacteria
Description: partial 16S ribosomal RNA
Rfam family: Bacterial small subunit ribosomal RNA
Source: RNAcentral
UACGUAGGGUGCAAGCGUUGUCCGGAUUUAUUGGGCGUAAAGAGCGCGCAGGCGGUCGUUCAAGUCGCGUGUGAAAGCCCCCGGCUCAACUGGGGAGGGUCACGCGAUACUGAUCGACUCGAAGGCAGGAGAGGGUAGUGGAAUUCCCGGUGUAGUGGUGAAAUGCGUAGAUAUCGGGAGGAACACCAGUGGCGAAGGCGACUACCUGGCCUGUUCUUGACGCUGAGGCGCGAAAGCUAGGGGAGCAAACGGG